UACGAAGGGGGCUAGCGUUGCUCGGAAUCACUGGGCGUAAAGCGCACGUAGGCGGAUCUUUAAGUCAGGGGUGACAUCCUGGAGCUCAACUCCAGAACUGCCUUUGAUACUGGGGAUCUCGAGUCCGGAAGAGGUGAGUGGAACUCCGAGUGUAGAGGUGAAAUUCGUAGAUAUUCGGAAGAACACCAGUGGCGAAGGCGGCUCACUGGUCCGGUACUGACGCUGAGGCGCGAAAGCUAGGGGAGCAAACAGG
RNAcentral lists this ribosomal RNA (253 nucleotides) under uncultured bacterium. Its description in RNAcentral is "partial 16S ribosomal RNA". It matches the Rfam family "Bacterial small subunit ribosomal RNA", at positions 524 to 776 of the family's 1533-position model. The record is from RNAcentral.